ACGAACGCUGGCGGCGUGCUUCACACAUGCAAGUCGAACGGAAAGGCCCUGCUUUUGUGGGGUGCUCGAGUGGCGAACGGGUGAGUAACACGUGAGUAACCUGCCCUUGACUUUGGGAUAACUUCAGGAAACUGGGGCUAAUACCGGAUAGGAGCUCCUGCUGCAUGGUGGGGGUUGGAAAGUUUCGGCGGUUGGGGAUGGACUCGCGGCUUAUCAGCUUGUUGGUGGGGUAGUGGCUUACCAAGGCUUUGACGGGUAGCCGGCCUGAGAGGGUGACCGGCCACAUUGGGACUGAGAUACGGCCCAGACUCCUACGGGAGGCAGCAGUGGGGAAUAUUGCACAAUGGGCGGAAGCCUGACGCAGCAACGCCGCGUGCGGGAUGACGGCCUUCGGGUUGUAAACCGCUUUCGCCUGUGACGAAGCGUGAGUGACGGUAAUGGGUAAAGAAGCACCGGCUAACUACGUG
This 467-nucleotide ribosomal RNA is filed under the name uncultured bacterium. RNAcentral describes it as "partial 16S ribosomal RNA". It matches the Rfam family "Bacterial small subunit ribosomal RNA", at positions 29 to 507 of the family's 1533-position model. The record is from RNAcentral.